UACAGAGGGUGCGAGCGUUAAUCGGAAUUACUGGGCGUAAAGCGCGCGUAGGCGGUCUUGUAAGUCGGGUGUGAAAGCCCCGGGCUCAACCUGGGAACUGCAUUCGAGACUGCAGGACUGGAGUAUUGGAGAGGGCAGCGGAAUUUCCGGUGUAGCGGUGAAAUGCGUAGAUAUCGGAAGGAACAUCAGUGGCGAAAGCGGCUGCCUGGCCAAAUACUGACGCUCAUGUGCGAAAGCGUGGGGAGCAAACAGGAUUAGAUACCCCCGUAGUCC
RNAcentral lists this ribosomal RNA (273 nucleotides) under uncultured bacterium. RNAcentral's name for it is "partial 16S ribosomal RNA". It matches the Rfam family "Bacterial small subunit ribosomal RNA", at positions 524 to 796 of the family's 1533-position model. The record is from RNAcentral.